AACGAACGCUGGCGGCGUGCCUAACACAUGCAAGUCGUGCGAGAAAGUUCCUUCGGGAGCGAGUAAAGCGGCGCACGGGUGAGUAACACGUAGGUAACCUGCCCCCCAGUCUGGAACAACUAGAGGAAACUCUAGCUAAUGCCGGAUGAGACCACGAUCCCUUCGGGGGUUGCGGCCCAAAAAGGAUGGCCUCUACUUGUAAGCUAUCGCUGAGGGAUGGGCCUGCGGGCCAUUAGUUUGUUGGUGAGGUAACGGCUCACCAAGGCUGUGAUGGCUAGCUGGUCUGAGAGGAUGACCAGCCACACUGGGACUGAGACACGGCCCAGACUCCUACGGGAGGCAGCAGUGGGGAAUAUUGCGCAAUGGGCGAAAGCCUGACGCAGCGACGCCGCGUGGGUGAUGAA
Molecule: ribosomal RNA, 404 nt
Filed under: uncultured bacterium
Lineage: Bacteria
Description: bacterial SSU rRNA
Rfam family: Bacterial small subunit ribosomal RNA
Source: RNAcentral